CCUACGGGGCGCAGCAGUGAGGAAUAUUGGUCAAUGGCCGCAGGGCUGAACCAGCCAAGUCGCGUGAGGGAUGACGGUCCUAUGGAUUGUAAACCUCUUUUGUCAGGGAGCAAAGGGCGCCACGUGUGGCGUUUUGCGAGUACCUGAAGAAAAAGCAUCGGCUAACUCCGUGCCAGCAGCCGCGGUAAUACAUAGGGGGCAAGCGUUAUCCGGAAUUAUUGGGUGUAAAGGGUGCGUAGACGGGAAAUUAAGUUAGUUGUGAAAUCCCCAGGCUCAACUUGGGAAUUGCAACUAAAACUGGUUUU
RNAcentral lists this ribosomal RNA (305 nucleotides) under uncultured bacterium. RNAcentral describes it as "bacterial SSU rRNA". It matches the Rfam family "Bacterial small subunit ribosomal RNA", at positions 338 to 640 of the family's 1533-position model. The record is from RNAcentral.